Molecule: ribosomal RNA, 2933 nt
Filed under: Escherichia coli
Lineage: Bacteria; Pseudomonadati; Pseudomonadota; Gammaproteobacteria; Enterobacterales; Enterobacteriaceae
Description: 23S ribosomal RNA
Rfam family: Bacterial large subunit ribosomal RNA
Source: RNAcentral
GGGUUGUGAGGUUAAGCGACUAAGCGUACACGGUGGAUGCCCUGGCAGUCAGAGGCGAUGAAGGACGUGCUAAUCUGCGAUAAGCGUCGGUAAGGUGAUAUGAACCGUUAUAACCGGCGAUUUCCGAAUGGGGAAACCCAGUGUGAUUCGUCACACUAUCAUUAACUGAAUCCAUAGGUUAAUGAGGCGAACCGGGGGAACUGAAACAUCUAAGUACCCCGAGGAAAAGAAAUCAACCGAGAUUCCCCCAGUAGCGGCGAGCGAACGGGGAGCAGCCCAGAGCCUGAAUCAGUGUGUGUGUUAGUGGAAGCGUCUGGAAAGGCGCGCGAUACAGGGUGACAGCCCCGUACACAAAAAUGCACAUGCUGUGAGCUCGAUGAGUAGGGCGGGACACGUGGUAUCCUGUCUGAAUAUGGGGGGACCAUCCUCCAAGGCUAAAUACUCCUGACUGACCGAUAGUGAACCAGUACCGUGAGGGAAAGGCGAAAAGAACCCCGGCGAGGGGAGUGAAAAAGAACCUGAAACCGUGUACGUACAAGCAGUGGGAGCACAGAGCAAUCUGUGUGACUGCGUACCUUUUGUAUAAUGGGUCAGCGACUUAUAUUCUGUAGCAAGGUUAACCGAAUAGGGGAGCCGAAGGGAAACCGAGUCUUAACUGGGCGUUAAGUUGCAGGGUAUAGACCCGAAACCCGGUGAUCUAGCCAUGGGCAGGUUGAAGGUUGGGUAACACUAACUGGAGGACCGAACCGACUAAUGUUGAAAAAUUAGCGGAUGACUUGUGGCUGGGGGUGAAAGGCCAAUCAAACCGGGAGAUAGCUGGUUCUCCCCGAAAGCUAUUUAGGUAGCGCCUCGUGAAUUCAUCUCCGGGGGUAGAGCACUGUUUCGGCAAGGGGGUCAUCCCGACUUACCAACCCGAUGCAAACUGCGAAUACCGGAGAAUGUUAUCACGGGAGACACACGGCGGGUGCUAACGUCCGUCGUGAAGAGGGAAACAACCCAGACCGCCAGCUAAGGUCCCAAAGUCAUGGUUAAGUGGGAAACGAUGUGGGAAGGCCCAGACAGCCAGGAUGUUGGCUUAGAAGCAGCCAUCAUUUAAAGAAAGCGUAAUAGCUCACUGGUCGAGUCGGCCUGCGCGGAAGAUGUAACGGGGCUAAACCAUGCACCGAAGCUGCGGCAGCGACGCUUAUGCGUUGUUGGGUAGGGGAGCGUUCUGUAAGCCUGUGAAGGUGUACUGUGAGGUAUGCUGGAGGUAUCAGAAGUGCGAAUGCUGACAUAAGUAACGAUAAAGCGGGUGAAAAGCCCGCUCGCCGGAAGACCAAGGGUUCCUGUCCAACGUUAAUCGGGGCAGGGUGAGUCGACCCCUAAGGCGAGGCCGAAAGGCGUAGUCGAUGGGAAACAGGUUAAUAUUCCUGUACUUGGUGUUACUGCGAAGGGGGGACGGAGAAGGCUAUGUUGGCCGGGCGACGGUUGUCCCGGUUUAAGCGUGUAGGCUGGUUUUCCAGGCAAAUCCGGAAAAUCAAGGCUGAGGCGUGAUGACGAGGCACUACGGUGCUGAAGCAACAAAUGCCCUGCUUCCAGGAAAAGCCUCUAAGCAUCAGGUAACAUCAAAUCGUACCCCAAACCGACACAGGUGGUCAGGUAGAGAAUACCAAGGCGCUUGAGAGAACUCGGGUGAAGGAACUAGGCAAAAUGGUGCCGUAACUUCGGGAGAAGGCACGCUGAUAUGUAGGUGAAGUCCCUCGCGGAUGGAGCUGAAAUCAGUCGAAGAUACCAGCUGGCUGCAACUGUUUAUUAAAAACACAGCACUGUGCAAACACGAAAGUGGACGUAUACGGUGUGACGCCUGCCCGGUGCCGGAAGGUUAAUUGAUGGGGUCAGCGCAAGCGAAGCUCUUGAUCGAAGCCCCGGUAAACGGCGGCCGUAACUAUAACGGUCCUAAGGUAGCGAAAUUCCUUGUCGGGUAAGUUCCGACCUGCACGAAUGGCGUAAUGAUGGCCAGGCUGUCUCCACCCGAGACUCAGUGAAAUUGAACUCGCUGUGAAGAUGCAGUGUACCCGCGGCAAGACGGAAAGACCCCGUGAACCUUUACUAUAGCUUGACACUGAACAUUGAGCCUUGAUGUGUAGGAUAGGUGGGAGGCUUUGAAGUGUGGACGCCAGUCUGCAUGGAGCCGACCUUGAAAUACCACCCUUUAAUGUUUGAUGUUCUAACGUUGACCCGUAAUCCGGGUUGCGGACAGUGUCUGGUGGGUAGUUUGACUGGGGCGGUCUCCUCCUAAAGAGUAACGGAGGAGCACGAAGGUUGGCUAAUCCUGGUCGGACAUCAGGAGGUUAGUGCAAUGGCAUAAGCCAGCUUGACUGCGAGCGUGACGGCGCGAGCAGGUGCGAAAGCAGGUCAUAGUGAUCCGGUGGUUCUGAAUGGAAGGGCCAUCGCUCAACGGAUAAAAGGUACUCCGGGGAUAACAGGCUGAUACCGCCCAAGAGUUCAUAUCGACGGCGGUGUUUGGCACCUCGAUGUCGGCUCAUCACAUCCUGGGGCUGAAGUAGGUCCCAAGGGUAUGGCUGUUCGCCAUUUAAAGUGGUACGCGAGCUGGGUUUAGAACGUCGUGAGACAGUUCGGUCCCUAUCUGCCGUGGGCGCUGGAGAACUGAGGGGGGCUGCUCCUAGUACGAGAGGACCGGAGUGGACGCAUCACUGGUGUUCGGGUUGUCAUGCCAAUGGCACUGCCCGGUAGCUAAAUGCGGAAGAGAUAAGUGCUGAAAGCAUCUAAGCACGAAACUUGCCCCGAGAUGAGUUCUCCCUGACUCCUUGAGAGUCCUGAAGGAACGUUGAAGACGACGACGUUGAUAGGCCGGAUGUGUAAGCGCAGCGAUGCGUUGAGCUAACCGGUACUAAUGAACCGUGAGGCUUAACCUUACAACGCCGAAGGUGUUU